CCUCCUCCUCCUCCGACUUCGAAUUCACCGUCUCCAUCUCCCCCCGCAAAUCCACCACCAAUCUCAUCCCCGCCGACCAGCUCUUCUACAAAGGCCAGCUCCUCCCUCUCCAUCUCUCUCCCCGUCUCUCUAUGGUCCGCACUCUCCUCCUCGCAUCCUCCUCCACCUCCUCUUCCGACACCACCACCACCGCCUCCCGCCACUCCACCGCCAGCUCCUCCUCCGACUUCCCCGACUCCCGCGACUCCUCCCGCCGCCCCAGCUCCGUCACCGACGACGACACUUCCAACUCACAACCCCUCACGCGCCUCCUCAACACCUCCCCAACCUCCGCCAAAAAACCCAAAUAUUUCUCCC
Molecule: long non-coding RNA, 357 nt
Filed under: Daucus carota (carrot)
Lineage: Eukaryota; Viridiplantae; Streptophyta; Magnoliopsida; Apiales; Apiaceae
Description: long non-coding RNA (DCAR_LNC005815)
Source: RNAcentral